RNAcentral lists this ribosomal RNA (253 nucleotides) under uncultured bacterium. RNAcentral describes it as "partial 16S ribosomal RNA". It matches the Rfam family "Bacterial small subunit ribosomal RNA", at positions 524 to 776 of the family's 1533-position model. The record is from RNAcentral.
UACGGAGGGUGCAAGCGUUAAUCGGAAUUACAGGGCGUAAAGCGCACGUAGGUGGUUUGCUAAGCCAGCUGUGAAAUCCCCGGGCUCAACCUGGGCACUGCAGUUGGAACUGGCAAGCUAGAGUAGGGUAGAGGGGUGUGGAAUUCCAGGUGUAGCGGUGAAAUGCGUAGAUAUCUGGAGGAACAUCAGUGGCGAAGGCGACACCCUGGACUCAUACUGACACUGAGGUGCGAAAGCGUGGGGAGCAAACAGG